Molecule: long non-coding RNA, 5096 nt
Filed under: Malus domestica (apple)
Lineage: Eukaryota; Viridiplantae; Streptophyta; Magnoliopsida; Rosales; Rosaceae
Description: long non-coding RNA (MDOM_LNC014825)
Source: RNAcentral
UUUAAAUGAUAACAAAAGAGCGGUUGCUCUCUGAUCUAAUUGCAGACACAAUCUGCAGAACCGUCUUCUAUGGGAUUUGAACUUGUGAAGUGUGAGGUGGAGACCUGAAUGUAACAAAUUGGUGUUAAGUGAAUAAUUCCAAACAUAUAAAAUUUAGAUCAUCACACCGAACGCAAACAGAACAAUUAAAUAAACAACUGAAGGCAUACGCAAUCUAAUUAGACAAAUAAGUGAACUUUCCCAUGCCGAAAUCUGAAAGGCCAACAGAAAUAUCUCAUUACAGCACAGAAGACAAAACUUAGGACAAAACUUAAAACUAAUCAAACUUAGGUGAACCAAUUAUAGAGAACAUAACCCUUGUAACCAAUCGGGAAAAGAUGCUUUUAAAUCCCAGAAAAAAAAAUUAAGAGGAGUUUUUUAAAAAACCAUCAUUUCAAUUAUUUUCCAGUCUUACAUUUGGAUUAAACAGAAAAUAUAAGUAAAAAUGCCAACUUUCUAAAAAAACUACAACUAUUUUUACAAAUUUCCAUUACCCAAUGCUGAAAAAUGAGAAUCACGAAGCAAUGAAGAACGGAACACGCGAGAACCAAAAAGUUAAAAACAACACGUAACCAUUUCAAAGACCCAAAAUCCUGCAAGGACAAAAAAAUCCCAUAAAAUCAGUACAUCAGCACUCCCUGCAAAACCCCAAAAUCAGAAAAUUAUAAAAAGAACCCAAAAUCAGUGGCAUGGUCCUCGUUUCUCCAUCAUUCAGUAGCUAAUGACCUAAUGGAAAAGAACCCAAAACAUACAGCUUAAAAUAUGGAAAGUGCUUAUAAAAGCUCAUGAAUAACGUUCAAAGCCUGCAUAGAAAUGGUAUAGCGCAGAUAACAACAAACAAUAAAACUAUGCACAGUAUAACCUAAAUCCGAUAUGUUGCAUUCCCCACACACAGAUUGUUCAAAAUUAAUUUCGUCUCCGUCUUUUUUCAAAUCUGAUAAAAUCCCCAAAACACAAAAAAUAGCAGCUAACUAUUUUUUGAACUCUGUAAACAACGAUAUGCAUCUUAACCCAUUUAACAUAUUCAUAAAAUAACAUCAAACACAUUUAUGCAUGAGAUAAUAUAGAAGUGAAGUCUCACAACUUUCAUAAAAAAUUAUUACUUUGUUAGAGAAAGGCUUGAAAAAAUAUGUAAAUUACUCACCUCUAUUACAAAAAUGUUACAACAGUAGACAAAAAAGGCCAAAAAUACCAAAAGCCGCACCUCCUGAAAUAAAAAACAUAACCAAACGACACAUUCUCAGUAUCUAAACGAUAUCCAGAAAAAAAGAAAUGAACAGACGAAACCCAUGUAAAUAUACAGAACAAACCAAAAAAAAAAAAAAGAACUGAAGCCAGUAAGAAGAUCACAAAUCUGAUAAAGCAAAAGGUAACAUAAUCUAUAUCGAUUUAAUUAUCCAUCCAAAAAGACAUUUGAAUGAAGAACAUUUUUAAGGAUCCAAACAACCAUUAAACUAAACAAUUAAAAGUAAAAACAGCAAAGCAUUCAUUGAAGAAAUAUAUAUAUAUAUAUAUAUUAUAACGUAUUUUGUUCUUUAUACCUAAAAGAAAAACAUUGGCUUUCUUGUAUGCACUGAAGUAUGCAUGUGUCGGAAAUUUACAAUCUAUAGAGACUCAAUCUCAGACUCAAAAAGACAUCUAAAGGAAAAGUAAUAAGAAAAAUAAGUAGUGGUUUUACCUAUACUCCAUGUGUGGACUCCAAUUUUCAAUCACAAUUCAAAAUUCAAGAGGCCUAUAAAUCAACCACAUAGGAAAUGAUCAGUGGAAGAAAAAGAAAAACAACUGAAGCCAAAAUAGCAUCUAACAAAUCAUUUAGAACCAUCACAGAAAACAAUUUUUGCAUAUAAGUAAUUUAAAGGAAUACCAUCAGGUCAUGCAUAUAUACAACGUACCCAAUUAGAUAAGUAGCACAUCAACAAUUGAUGAUCAAAAAGUUAGUCAGCCUCAAUUGCUUGAAUCUAAUUAACUCAAAGAUAAUAAACAGUCCAUUUAAUGCACGGGCUGACUAUCAAUUUUAUAAAGCUAUAAUUCUGUGCAGUUCAAAAACCAAGUGGAAGAAUAGGCAAAAACUAUCUCAUCGCCUGUAAAUGUAAUUAACUAAAUAUUAAACUUCACAGCCACAAAUAAACCUAAAUUCCUCCUAAAACUAUCUCAUUUAAGCUUGAUUUUACUAUAAUCUAUAAGUGUGGUAAAAAAUGGGAGGCCAAACGAUUUGUUAACAAAAAAGGUAGACAUAAAAGUAAAAGGAACAGGGCAGACAUUAGUUGAGGAGAAGCUAAUGUCACCUUGAAUUGACGACAAACAGUUCUUAUCUUCUCGAAUUAACGAAGAUAAGUACCAUUUUUCUUUAAUUCAAGGUAAUAUAAAAAGAAAUUAUACCUGUACAGUGUUCAGAUGUAGCAAUCCUAUGCAAUCGGCCAAAUGAUGUGUGUCCUCUCAAAGAUCUGUAUAUCCAUUACAGACUAAUCUUCAGUCUUGCAGAAAAUGAUAUGUUGACUACAAUUUCCCAUACUACUAAAAAACACAAAUAAUUCUAUCUACAAACCAAAUAAUAUGUGCAACUUUAUGCUACAAUGGUAGAAUAAGAUGGUUGUACAGGACGACACAAAGAUUGAGACUUUUUUUUACUUCUAAAAUUCUACACACUUUCGAGCCCUAAAUUUUCCCGGAAACAAAAAAAAGUGAAAGAAGUCGUACCUGGUUUGAGAGAGUGGGACACCAUCGGCGAGUUUGGUGUAGCAGUGAUGGCGGAGAUCUCUGGUGAGAAAGCUAAUAAGAUGGACAAAAUCAUUGAACAAAAAAAACCUCGCUUUUUAAAAUUAAAGUCAACAAAAAUUUGAACAAAGAAAAGAGAACUCAAACCCGAAACAAAUAAGUCGGAGAACUCGCCAGGAAACCCAAAGUUUCUGCAGGAUUGGCGAUUUCCUGAAAACCAAGCUUUUGUAGGUUUAAAAUUUCUUCCCUAAGGCAACAGAUCCAACAUUCCCAACUUUAGCUAUUUCAGCUACAUAAUAGAAAGAAAAAAAAAUUUAUAUAAUUAACUAAUCUGAUUUAAGAUUAAUCGAAAAGCUUGGAAAUUUCAGCUUUAAAAUUACAUGUCAGGCUGCAAAUCUAAUAAAAAGCGUAGAAUUUUAAAAAUGCUGACCUUAAAUACAGAGGCCUUCGCAGGCUGCAAAGAAGCGUUAGAAACCCGAAAAACCGGAUCUCCUGAAACCAAAAACAAAACCAAAUUAACCAUCAUCACCCAUAAUUCGAAGCCACAAACAUAAUCCCCAAAAUUACAACCCAAAAAUUUAAACAAAAAAACCCAUUUAUAAAUCCAAAUUUACACUCCCAAGUGCAAGACUCUAAGCUCCAACUGUUCUUUCUCAACUUUAGCUAUUUCAGCAACAUAACAUAAAUAAAAAGGUCGUACCCAGUGCACAAGGCUCCCGCUUUACGCAGGGUCUGGGAGAGGUGAAUGUCGGCUAGCCUUACCCCCAUUUUAUGGAGAGGCUGCUCCCAAGUCUCGAACCCGAGACCUACCGCUCAUGGGCGAAGACACUUGCCAUCGCACCAAGUGCGACCUCUAGCAACAUAACAUAAAUAAAAAGAUCGUACCCAGUGCACAAGGCUCCCGCUUUACGCAGGGUCUGGGAGAGGUGAACGUCGGCUAGCCUUACCCCCAUUUUAUGAAGAGGCUGGAACAUAACAUAAAUAAAUAAACAAAAUUAAUUUAACUAUAAUUAACUAAUAUGAUUUAAGAUUAAUCAAAAAACUUGGAAAUCUGCUUGAAUCCAAUCUCAAAAUUGAAAACGAACACUUCACUUUUACAAAAGUUGUACAAAGCAAAAAAAAAAAAACAGACAAAUCAAAGUCUCACAAAGGGCCACAACGACAGCAAAAUUGCAACAGAAAGAGGAAAAAUGUUCAAUCAAACCAUUGGAUAACUCUUCUAAGGCAGCCAAAAAAAAACCCACAAAUUCAAAACCACAAAAAUCCAAUCUAAAACAUCGAUUCACAGACUGAGAUGCACAAAAUGAUAUAUUAACAAAUCCAAAACGAAAUACAAAAAUUAAGAACCAACAAGCAAAAAAAUACUGAUUAUCCCCUGCAUACGUGAGCACACGUUCAAAAAGCCUCUCAAAGGCUGAGAUUCAACUUUCAAACAUAAAGACUUUAAGCCACAAUUGUUCUUUCUUAACUUUAGCUACUUCAGUUACAUAAUCGGAAAAAAAAAAUUAUUUAAUUAUAGUUAACUAAUCUGGGUUAAGAUUAAUAAAAAAGCUUGGAAAUUUCAGAUCUAAAAUCACACCUCAGGCUGCAAGUAGAAUCAAAACCAUGGAAUUUCAAAAUCACUGACCUUAAACACACAGGUCUUCGCAGGCUUCAAAGAAAAGUCACAAACUCGAAAAACCCAAUCUCCUGAAAUCGAAAACAAAACCAAAUUAACCAUCAUCACCUAGAAUCCGAAGCUACAAAACAAAAUUCCCAAAAUCAAAACCAAAAAAUUUGAACAAAAAACUCAUUUAAUAUCCAAAUUUACACUCCCAAGCACAUAACAUUCAAAGCAGACAAUUACCCAAAUCAAAUCGACAGCAGGAGAUGCAAUCUUUUAUGGGCUUCAAAUUUUCUUCAAACCGAGACCAAAUUCGCUAGUUUUCAGCAAGAGAGCGUUGCCGUUUGUAACCCCCGAUGAAAAGAUCCAAACAAAUUUGACUAACAGUAGACAGAGAGAGAGAGAGAUAGAGAGAGAGAGGUGAAAAUUACUCGCUGGUGACGAAGCUAAUGAAUUCGGAGACGCAUUCCUGGACGGUGUUCGACUGAUCGGCACGAGUAGAGACACCAGAUCAGAAAGACAGAAAAAUUAGGGUUUGGGAGAUAAAGAAACUGGGGCAGAGAGAGAGGGAAAGAGAAGCAGAAAAGAGGAUAAUUUUAUGCAUUUUUUUUAGCCGCUUUGAAUUUUUUUUGGCCGACAGGCAUUUGCGUCCGAUUAUUUUUGUCGAAGCCGGUGACACCAAAACCGGCCUCCGGCUUUCGGACCAGGAUUGUCUGCCCCUUCAUUUUCCCUGCCAUGU